AAAAAAUAGCCGGUCACGGUUUCCCUCAUGAGGCAGCGCUCGCUCAACCAGAACUGACCGGUAAGAUAGCAGACUAUCGACGGACUCACAAGUCACAGCUGUCAACCGGGGCUGUCCUUCUCGUCGAAAACAUGGUGAAAAAGGCUAAAAGUCCCGUCACUUACGCAAAAAUGAAGGGAAUAGUUUCAUAUUUUACAGCUUUAAUUAAGGACAAGAAGCUUCGAUCCGGCAGCCACCCUAUCUAUCGACAGAUGGAUUUCUUGCGACCUGAGGGUAGUCUUUCUGAAGAUGAUGGAGCAGCAGCUGUUUACAGUAAUCCACAACCAGAGUAGCCACAGUCUCGGUAAGCGGGGUGCUCAGCUGAUCUGCUGAAGAGACUGCUAAACAGGGACAGGGCCAAGAGACUAGGAGCAAAACAUGACCUGACCGAGCUGCAGUCUCAUCCUUUCUUCUUGUCUAUUCAUUGGGAUGAACUUGUUGCAAAGAAAAUUACUCCUCCUUACGUUCCCUUAUUGUCUGGCCCUGGUGACCUCACAAACAUUGACCCUCGGUUUACAGAACUUCCUGUUCCGCAGUCGCUAGGAGCAUGUGAGGAGUACGGAGCAACCUUUCCAGGCUUCACCUACAUCAAUGAAAACAUUCUCUCACUGACUCGUGGACAUUAAGACAGAAUUCUGUCAGACCAAUAGACAUUUUGUCUGAACAUGUUUUAAGGAUGUUUAACUUAAGCAAACACUGAAGCACAGUUCAUUUUUAUGUUAGCCGGACCAAUGCUUUUGCACAUGACUACAAAUUUUCUAUCAAAUGUGACUGUUUUCCUAACAUUCAUGUUAUUUAAUUCCUUUUUUAGCCCUAUUUGAUCAAAAAAAUAUUUGUACUGAAAUACAAUGAUUAGUGGUAUUCUGACAAUAACUGAGACGACAUGAAGUGAGACUACAGGUUGCAUCAGAUGUUUGAUUGUAAAAGUUGUGAGAUGGAAUGAAUAUUAAAUCUCAAUGUAAUUACAAUUGUGUGUAUAAAACGUGUUUUUGAUUAAAUUGUUUGAUCAGUAAAAUAAUGUCC
Molecule: long non-coding RNA, 1062 nt
Organism: Sinocyclocheilus anshuiensis
Lineage: Eukaryota; Metazoa; Chordata; Actinopteri; Cypriniformes; Cyprinidae
Exons: 6
Source: RefSeq, a predicted model, not a curated record